AAACAUAAGAAUGAAAAAAAA
RNAcentral lists this small RNA (21 nucleotides) under Arabidopsis thaliana (thale cress). RNAcentral's name for it is "ATSL252890". Lineage: Eukaryota; Viridiplantae; Streptophyta; Magnoliopsida; Brassicales; Brassicaceae. The record is from RNAcentral.